CGGGGACUUGGUCUUUGGGUGGCGCAGCUAACGCAUUAAGUUAUCCGCCUGGGGAGUACGGCCGCAAGGUUAAAACUCAAAUGAAUUGACGGGGGCCUGCACAAGCGGUGGAGCAUGUGGUUUAAUUCGAAGCAACGCGCAGAACCUUACCAGCGUUUGACAUGUCCGGACGAUUUCUGGAGACAGAUCUCUUCCCUUCGGGGACUGGAACACAGGUGCUGCAUGGCUGUCGUCAUCUCGUGUCGUGAGAUGUUGGGUUAAGUCCCGCAACGAGCGCAACCCUCGCCUUUAGUUACCAUCAUUUAGUUGGGGACUCUAAAGGAACCGCCGGUGAUAAGCCGGAGGAAGGUGGGGAUGACGUCAAGUCCUCAUGGCCCUUACGCGCUGGGCUACACACGUGCUACAAUGGCGGUGACAGUGGGCAGCAAACUCGCGAGAGUGCGCUAAUCUCCAAAAGCCGUCUCAGUUCGGAUUGUUCUCUGCAACUCGAGAGCAUGAAGGCGGAAUCGCUAGUAAUCGCGGAUCAGCAUGCCGCGGUGAAUACGUUCCCAGGCCUUGUACACACCGCCCGUCACACCAUGGGAGUUGGGUUCACCCGAAG
This 601-nucleotide ribosomal RNA is filed under the name uncultured bacterium. RNAcentral describes it as "bacterial SSU rRNA". It matches the Rfam family "Bacterial small subunit ribosomal RNA", at positions 825 to 1426 of the family's 1533-position model. The record is from RNAcentral.